This 1798-nucleotide unclassified non-coding RNA is filed under the name Dimorphilus gyrociliatus. RNAcentral's name for it is "dgyrCDS7797". The record is from RNAcentral. Lineage: Eukaryota; Metazoa; Annelida; Polychaeta; Dinophilidae.
CCCAAUGUUCCUAAUAGAUAAGGAUUAUCGGACUUGUAAUUUAGGGAAUUCAGUUAGCUCGUACUGUUUUUAUGUCAAGUUGAAAUUUAUCUCAAUACGAACUUAAAUAUAGGAUUACAUUUUUGAGUAUAAUACACAAAAGAAUAUACUAGUUCAAGACACCUAUUAUAUAUUUGUUGGGUGAGACCUGUUCAAAACGAGUUCGGGUCACUCAACCUCAAAACUGUAUUAACGAAAAUAUAUGAAAUUUGUUACAUAUAAUAACAUAGGAAAAAUGUAAUAAAUCAUCCUUUUUCUAUGAUCUUUAACAAGUUAUUGUUUAAUUUGGAAAGGCUUUAGAAUUUUAGCAAAUCGAUAGAUAAUUUUCUCUAAAUACUAUAGAGAAGAUACUUUUGAUGCUUUUUAAUAGAAAACUUAAUAUAACGCCAUUGUAAUGCUCAUUGUUAGUAGAUAGUACAAGUUUUCAAAAAGUUGUAUAGAAACUGAGAAGUUGAAUUGUGCUAGAAUGGAAGAGAACAAGAAAGAAACUAUUAAAGAUAGAAUAAACUGUUGUAGGAAUGGACCGAAAGUUUGGUGUAUUAAAUACUUUUUUGAAGGACAAAUGAAAAGAGAUGAUGAAGAUAAUGAGGAAUUUAUUAGAGGUGAACAUUUCGGAGGACGAAGUAAAUUUUUGAAGAAAUAUAGAAGAAUUAUAGCAGUUUUAAUACCAUUUUUAAUUGUUGAAUUUUUGUGGUUUUCCUACGCUAUCCAGCAUUCGAUUUGGGAAAAAUUUACGACUGGAUAUACUAUGACUCUAACUAUGAUUUUUGGUUCGAUUAUUGCUGGAAUGACAUCCGAGGGAGGAGGAGCAGUUGCAUUUCCAGUGAUGACUCUUCUUUUAAAAAUAGAUCCUGUAAAGGCCAAGGAUUUUUCAUUAUUAAUUCAAUCAUGCGGAAUGUCUUGCGCCUCUUUCAGCAUUUUUUUCAUGAAAGUUCAAGUCGAGUACAAUUCUAUAAUAUUCUGUUCCAUAGGAGCAAUAGGUGGUGGUAUUUUUGGCUAUGAAUUCGUUGAUAAAAAACUAACAGCAGCGCAGAAAAAGAUGUUGUUUGUCUGCAUUUGGUUUACAUUUGCUUUUUCCCUCUUCUUAUUAAAUUUUAGAAAAAAAAGGAAAACUUUUAGGCAAAUAGUAAAUCUGCAAUGGUGGACCUAUCCUAUACUAUUGUUAACUGGUUUUGUCGGUGGGAUAUUUACAUCAUUUACAGGCAGUGGUGUAGAUAUAUGCUCUUUUAGCAUACUAACACUACUCUUUAGAGUUUCUGAGAAAGUUGCUACACCAACAUCUGUAGUUCUUAUGGCAUUUAAUUCAUUUUUUGGAGUUUUUUGGAGAAAUUUUAUACACGAGGGAAUUUCAACAGUUACUUGGGAUUAUUUUUUGGUUUGCGCACCAAUUGUAGUCGUAGGAGCUCCAAUAGGUUCACUCUUUGGUACCCAUUUUCACAGAUUAGUUUUAGCCGCUCUUGUUUACAUAGUAGAUGUAGCAUCAAUAGUUACAGCAUUCAUAAUUAUUAAACCAACGGGUUCACUGUUAGGAUUAUCUCUGGGAGCUAUAGGAGCUGGUUUUAUAUUCUUUCUAGCAAUAACAAAAAUAGGAGAUAAACUUUUAAAGAGUUUAGAAAGUAAUUUCAUUAAUGUCGAAAAGAAUACAACAGAAUUAAAUAACGUUGAAAAUUCAAACCAGCUCCAGGUUGUUACUAAUUCAGAUAUUUGAAUAAAGGAAAACAUUGAAAAUAUUCAUGUAUUUUAAAUAUAUUAAUAUAUA